GCAAACUACUUCGUCCCAUGUUCGAUCCACGCUGAUUCCAACAAAAGCGAAUGCAACAUGUUCUGUCUUGACUGCACUUCUAGUUCCUUUUGCUCUUACUGUUUGACCAAUCACAAAAACCAUCGUGUCCUUCAGGUUUGUUCUUCACCAUAUCUCAAUUUGUUUUUCUCUUAAAUUCACAAAAAAACAUAAUAAUAAAAUCGAAUGUUUAUCCUUAGAUACGAAGAUCAUCGUACCACAACGUUGUGAGGGUGAAUGAGAUUCAGAAGUACAUAGACAUCUCUUGUGUCCAGACAUAUAUAAUCAACAGCGCAAGGAUCGUGUUCUUGAACGAACGUCCUCAGCCAAGAAUCGGCAAAGGCGUUACCAAUACUUGCGAAAUAUGUUGCAGAAGCCUCCUUGAUUCUUUCCGUUUCUGCUCUCUUGGUUGCAAAGUAAAUACAAAUCUCUUUUCUCAUUCCACUUCAAGGAAGAUCUCUUCCUCUAUUUUUGUUUUUGAUUUAAAUAAACGUAUAAAUUAUUGUGUAAAGUUUUAAAUUUUAUUCUAAUCUUAAAUUUAAAAUUCGCCAUUUCAAAAGAACAGUUGAAACUACUAAUUUUUUAAACUAUAUUAUUAUUAUUUUUUAAAUGUCAGUUAAUAUUUUUUUUUAAAUAGAGCGUACAAAUAAAUUGAUAUGUCACUGACCAUGUUGAUCUUGUUUUGGGUGAUUCAGCUUGGAGGGAUGAAAAGAGGAAAUCAAAGUCUAACCUUCUCUUUGAAAGGGAAGCAUGGGAGGGAGUAUCAAGCUGGGGAGGACUCUGAUGAGGCGACCACACCAACUAAGAUACGCAAGACAUGUGCUUU
This 844-nucleotide long non-coding RNA is filed under the name Brassica rapa (field mustard). RNAcentral describes it as "long non-coding RNA (BRAP_LNC005560)". Lineage: Eukaryota; Viridiplantae; Streptophyta; Magnoliopsida; Brassicales; Brassicaceae. The record is from RNAcentral.